RNAcentral lists this transfer RNA (75 nucleotides) under Methylobacterium oxalidis. RNAcentral's name for it is "tRNA-Val". The record is from RNAcentral. Lineage: Bacteria; Pseudomonadati; Pseudomonadota; Alphaproteobacteria; Hyphomicrobiales; Methylobacteriaceae.
GACGUCGUAGUGCGCGGCAGUGCUGUCGGCUUUGACGUAGCCGAAGCCGCGAGCAGCUCGGCCGGCUUGGCGGUC